UACGUAGGUGGCAAGCGUUAUCCGGAUUUACUGGGUGUAAAGGGCGUGUAGGCGGGAAAGCAAGUCAGAUGUGAAAACUAUGGGCUCAACCCAUAGCCUGCAUUUGAAACUGUUUUUCUUGAGUACUGGAGAGGCAGAUGGAAUUCCUAGUGUAGCGGUGAAAUGCGUAGAUAUUAGGAGGAACACCAGUGGCGAAGGCGAUCUGCUGGACAGCAACUGACGCUGAGGCGCGAAAGCGUGGGGAGCAAACAGG
Molecule: ribosomal RNA, 253 nt
Filed under: uncultured bacterium
Lineage: Bacteria
Description: partial 16S ribosomal RNA
Rfam family: Bacterial small subunit ribosomal RNA
Source: RNAcentral